GAUGAACGCUGGCGGCGUGCCUAACACAUGCAAGUCGAACGGACAUUUUUUGGAAAGCUCUUCGGAACUGGAAUCUAAAUGUUAGUGGCGGACGGGUGAGUAACGCGUGAGCAAUCUGCCUUUCAGAGGGGGAUAACAGCCGGAAACGGCUGCUAAUACCGCAUAAGCCCACGGCCCGGCAUCGGGUUGAGGGAAAAGGAUUUAUUCGCUUCAGGAUGGACUCGCGUCCAAUUAGCUAGUUGGUGAGGUAACGGCCCACCAAGGCGACGAUUGGUAGCCGGACUGAGAGGUUGAACGGCCACAUUGGGACUGAGACACGGCCCAG
RNAcentral lists this ribosomal RNA (325 nucleotides) under uncultured bacterium. RNAcentral describes it as "bacterial SSU rRNA". It matches the Rfam family "Bacterial small subunit ribosomal RNA", at positions 28 to 334 of the family's 1533-position model. The record is from RNAcentral.